UACACGCGGACACACAAACUAAACUAGGGUUUCUCUCAUCUCUCAUUUGGUCCGCCGCUCAAUUCCUCUCAUCCUCUGCUCUCUCUCUAUGACGACUUCAUCAGGCCUCUCUCUCAGAUCUCACCAGAUCUGUGAGGAUUUCACCAGAUCGAGAGGGUUUGCCAUUUCAUCCAUCUCCAUGCUUCUCUCUCAAAGAAAAUCUAGGGUUUCUCUAGGCGGAGCCGAGCCACUGGCUCACUGCGACCUCGUCGGCGGUUUGAUACUUCCAUGGAACCAAAUAGUCCGAGCCAUGUAGGCUGCUCAUAUCACCAAAUCCGGAUUCAGUGACACUCUUUUCGUUUUCGGGAGUGAAGAACAAGCAGAUCCGGUAUCCUGUAUGUUCGUAGACCUCAUAUCACCCCGGUAUGUAUUUGGUAUUUUUGUAGAUCUAGGGUUUUUUUGUAUUUUUCAGAUCCGUAAAAUGAUGAUUUGGGAAAUACAAAUCAAUGCAGAACUUGAUUUCGUUUUCCUCAGGUUAACUUUUUCUCUGUCUGCAUGUUCACUGAGUUUUGUGUCAGAUUUGUGUCUGUAAUGUUACGAUUUUGUUUAAUAAUGUGUGAUAGUGAAUGUACAGGUGCAGAUCUGGAGUUUUGAUGCUUUAGUAGAUUUUGAGAUUAAAACGAAAUUAGUGGUUGAAUUUAUUGGUUGAAUUGGUUCAAUGUCUUGUUGAACAAUGUUUAAAAAGAGGAUUAAGUGAAUUUAUUGAGAAGUUUGAAUUGGUUAGUAUGAAAUGCUUGCUGCUUAAAAAUAGAAAAUAAAAAUCAUGAUCCUCUUUUUAAACAUUGUUCAACAGGACAUUGAACACUUUGACAAACAAAAACCAUUGUCUUGUCAACAAAGUGAUGGCAGAAUCAGCAGCAGCCAAAGUGAAAUCAAUCUUCAUAUAUCCAAUAAAAUCCUGCAGGGGCAUCUCUGUCUCAGAAGCACCCCUCUUUUCCACUGGGUUUAGAUGGGAUAGACAAUGGAUUGUUGUGAAUUCCAAAGUUAGAGCCUGUACACAAAGAGUGGAUCCAAAGUUGGCUUUAGUUGAAGUAGAGUUGCUUCAGGGUGCAUUUGCUGUUGGUUGGAAGCCAAACAAGGGGUCUCACAGGUUGAACGUAGUGGGGCGGUAUAGCCCCUUAUAGCGCCAUUAUCGCGCCGGGCACACCACCCCCUUAGGCGCCAUGUUUCAGAAAUUUGGGGGAGGCGCUAUUAUCUUCGCGGCGUGAGGGAGGAAGGUGAUUAAGGUUGGACCAAUCAAAAAAAGGUUAAUGUUUUUAUAAUUAUUUAAUAAAAACGAAAAUUAAUAAUUAGGUAUUGAUGGGUAGGGGCUUUAUCACUACGGGCUUAAAUGCAUAACGCCCCAUAACGCCCACCCGCACACGUGGCGCGCCACAUGUCGCAUAACGCCCCCAAAAGGGCUUUAUGACUACACAUGGCCUUAGGUAAAUGACACUCUCAAAACUUUUUUUUAAUUAAGAUGAUAUAGCUUUGGAUUGGGCUUAGGAUGGCCCCACGUCUCCCUCGUUAGAUAUAAGAGGGGAGUGUGGAUCAACUUUUAAACGAUUUCUCUUCAGCUGAAUACUGAAUAUUAUAGGCACAAAUUGCAGUAUGAAAGUACUGUACUUAUGUGUAUGUAGCUUAGAUUGAUAGGUAUUGUGCAUAUGUGUAUCUAUUUGUUUUUUACAUUAAGGGUAUUUUAGACAUUUAAUAGUUUUUGCAUAUAUGUAUCUGUUUGUUUUACAUGAAUGUUUUAUUUGAAGCUGGGGUACGGUUAAGAAUUCGCUGCUUGCUGGUUCACAUAAGAAUUCUGAGGUAAAAAGUAACAAAACCGUACCCCACAUAGGUAAAAACAGUUUUAAUGAUGACCCAAGGAGUUAUCUUUCAAAACGUGGUACAAUUGAUGAUGCACAAGGUACAAAAGGUGAUACGAGUAAUCCUGAAAAUCCGUCAUGCCAGCAAGUACCAUCAAUGAACCACAGACAGUUUACAGUUCCGGUUCCACUGGACCUAAAUGUUGGGGUUCAGGACCAUCUGUCUCACCCGGAUACUUUGGACUGAAGAUUGGUUCACCUCAGCAGCCGGAUUUAGCGUUGCAGCUCUGAGUCUGUGUCGGCUCUUGUGUUUGGCGGUUAAGGAGGUUGUGGGUCAUCUGGUAAUGGAUGCAAGUUAGUCUAUAGUGUAGGAAACUGUGUACAGAUUAAGGAUCUCCUUGUAACUUUGUACUCAAGAUUGAUUGUAGUAUGAUGAACCUGAACUAGAAAUAAAAAACACCAGCAUUGGUUUUUUUUUUCUGCCAUUUUUUUGGCAUAAGUUAUUGUUGUAUGUAGGGAACCUUGAAAAUUUCACUUUGAUGUACUAUACUCUUUAAAACCUACCCUUUAAUGCAUCUUACAUUCAAGGUUAGUUUUUGCUA
Molecule: RNA transcript, 2434 nt
Organism: Helianthus annuus (common sunflower)
Lineage: Eukaryota; Viridiplantae; Streptophyta; Magnoliopsida; Asterales; Asteraceae
Exons: 4
Source: RefSeq, a predicted model, not a curated record